UACGGGGGGUGCGAGCGUUGUCCGGAAUCACUGGGCGUAAAGGGCGCGUAGGUGGUUUGAUAAGGGUGUGGUGAAAGCCCGGGGCUCAACCCCGGGUCUGCCGUGCCGACUGCUAAACUCGAGGGCUGUAGAGGCAGACGGAAUUCCGGGUGUAGCGGUGGAAUGCGUAGAGAUCCGGAGGAAGACCGGUGGCGAAGGCGGUCUGCUGGGCAGUUUCUGACACUGAUGCGCGACAGCGUGGGGAGCAAACAGG
RNAcentral lists this ribosomal RNA (253 nucleotides) under uncultured bacterium. RNAcentral's name for it is "partial 16S ribosomal RNA". It matches the Rfam family "Bacterial small subunit ribosomal RNA", at positions 524 to 776 of the family's 1533-position model. The record is from RNAcentral.